Molecule: long non-coding RNA, 118 nt
Organism: Pocillopora damicornis (cauliflower coral)
Lineage: Eukaryota; Metazoa; Cnidaria; Anthozoa; Scleractinia; Pocilloporidae
Source: RefSeq, a predicted model, not a curated record
GAACGGGGUUAAGAACGAAUCAGAGACUUCUUGCCUGACACAGGCCUGUAAAGAGUGUCUUGCACCUUGUAACGCGAAAAGGACAUUUCCAGACGAGAACUCAUGCAAAGCAAGCUGU